Molecule: small RNA, 29 nt
Filed under: Bombyx mori (domestic silkworm)
Lineage: Eukaryota; Metazoa; Arthropoda; Insecta; Lepidoptera; Bombycidae
Description: ovarian small RNA-34086
Source: RNAcentral
UGCUACUGGUGCAUAGUAUCCCUCUUGUC